CCUACGGGCGGCAGCAGUGGGGAAUAUUGCACAAUGGGGGAAACCCUGAUGCAGCGACGCCGCGUGAGUGAAGAAGUAAUUCGUUACGUAAAGCUCUAUCAGCAGGGAAGAAAAUGACGGUACCUGACCAAGAAGCCCCGGCUAACUACGUGCCAGCAGCCGCGGUAAUACGUAGGGGGCAAGCGUUAUCCGGAUUUACUGGGUGUAAAGGGAGCGUAGACGGCCAUGCAAGUCUGAUGUGAAAACCCGGGGCUUAACCCCGGGACUGCCUUGGAAACUGUGCGGCUGGAGUGUAGGAGAGGUAAGUGGAAUUCCUGGUGUAGCGGUGAAAUGCGUAGAUAUUAGGAGGAACACCAGUGGCGAAGGCGGCUUGCUGGACGGCAACUGACGUUGAGGCUCGAAAGCGUGGGGAGCAAACAGGAUUAGAUACCCGUGUAGUC
RNAcentral lists this ribosomal RNA (440 nucleotides) under uncultured bacterium. RNAcentral's name for it is "partial 16S ribosomal RNA". It matches the Rfam family "Bacterial small subunit ribosomal RNA", at positions 338 to 795 of the family's 1533-position model. The record is from RNAcentral.